RNAcentral lists this ribosomal RNA (584 nucleotides) under uncultured bacterium. RNAcentral describes it as "bacterial SSU rRNA". It matches the Rfam family "Bacterial small subunit ribosomal RNA", at positions 331 to 929 of the family's 1533-position model. The record is from RNAcentral.
CCAGACUCCUACGGGAGGCAGCAGUAGGGAAUCUUUCACAAUGGGCGAAAGCCUGAUGGAGCAAUGCCGCGUGCAGGACGAAGGCCUUCGGGUUGUAAACUGCUUUUAUAAGCGAGAAAUAUGAUGGUAACUUAUGAAUAAGGAUCGGCUAACUACGUGCCAGCAGCCGCGGUCAUACGUAGGAUCCGAGCAUUAUCCGGAGUGACUGGGUGUAAAGAGUUGCGUAGGUGGCAAGGUAAGUAGAUAGUGAAAUCUGGUGGCUCAACCAUUCAGACUAUUAUCUAAACUAUCUAGCUCGAGACUGUUAUGGGUAACUGGAAUUUCUAGUGUAGGAGUGAAAUCCGUAGAUAUUAGAAGGAACACCGAUAGCGUAGGCAGGUUACUGGGACAGUUCUGACACUAAGGCACGAAAGCGUAGGGAGCAAACGGGAUUAGAUACCCCGGUAGUCUACGCCGUAAACGAUGGAUACUAGGUGUGGGAGGUAUCGACCCCUACCGUGCCGGAGUUAACGCAAUAAGUAUCCCGCCUGGGAAGUACGGCCGCAAGGCUGAAACUCAAAGGAAUUGACGGGGGCCCGCACAAG